AAACUUACCUAGCAGGAGAGACACCAUGGUUACGAAGGUAAUUUUCCCAGAGCAAGUCUUAUCAAUUGCAUUCCAGAUGUGCUGAUCCCUGCAAUUUCCCCAAAUGUGGGAGACUCAAGUGCAUAUAUGUGGUAGUGGAGGACUGUGUUCAUACUCUCCCCUG
This is a small nuclear RNA of Sorex araneus (European shrew), 163 nucleotides long. Its record names the gene U1. It matches the Rfam family "U1 spliceosomal RNA". From Rfam's summary of the family: U1 is a small nuclear RNA (snRNA) component of the spliceosome (involved in pre-mRNA splicing). Its 5' end forms complementary base pairs with the 5' splice junction, thus defining the 5' donor site of an intron. The record is from Ensembl. Lineage: Eukaryota; Metazoa; Chordata; Mammalia; Eulipotyphla; Soricidae.